UGGCUCAGUUGGUAGAGCAUGGUGUUUGCAACGCCAGGGUUGUGGGUUCAAUUCCCGC
This 58-nucleotide transfer RNA is filed under the name Salmo trutta (river trout). It matches the Rfam family "tRNA", at positions 8 to 63 of the family's 71-position model. From Rfam's summary of the family: Transfer RNA (tRNA) molecules are approximately 80 nucleotides in length. Their secondary structure includes four short double-helical elements and three loops (D, anti-codon, and T loops). Lineage: Eukaryota; Metazoa; Chordata; Actinopteri; Salmoniformes; Salmonidae. The record is from Rfam by way of RNAcentral.